RNAcentral lists this ribosomal RNA (467 nucleotides) under uncultured bacterium. RNAcentral's name for it is "partial 16S ribosomal RNA". It matches the Rfam family "Bacterial small subunit ribosomal RNA", at positions 28 to 507 of the family's 1533-position model. The record is from RNAcentral.
GAUGAACGCUGGCGGCGCGCCUAACACAUGCAAGUCGAACGAUUAAAGCACCUUCGGGUGUGUAAAAAGUGGAGAACGGCUGAGUAACACGUGGGCAACCUGCCCCUCUCAUUGGGAUAGCCACGGGAAACCGUGGAUAAUACCGAAUACUUCGGGACUUCCGCAUGGAAGACUCGAGAAAGCUCCGGCGGGGAGGGAUGGGCCCGCGGCCUGUUAGCUUGUUGGUGGGGUAAUGGCAUACCAAGGCAAUGAUGGGUAGCUGGGUUGAGAGACCGACCAGCCAGAUGGGGACUGAGACACGGCCCAGACUCCUACGGGAGGCAGCAGUGGGGAAUCUUGCACAACGGGACAGCGCCUGAUGCAGCGACGCCGCGUGCGGGAUGAAGGCCUUCGGGUUGAAAACCGCUUCCAGCAGGGACGAGGCGAAAGUGACGGUACCUGCAGAAGAAGCCCCGGCUAACUACGUG